Triticum aestivum (bread wheat) is the source of this 124-nucleotide non-coding RNA. NCBI's taxonomy places the organism in Eukaryota, Viridiplantae, Streptophyta, Magnoliopsida, Poales, Poaceae. The record is from Rfam.
UUAAUACUCCCUCCGUCCGGAAAUACUUGUCCUAAAAAUGGAUGUAUCUAGAUUUAUUUUAAUUAUAGAUAUAUCCAUUUUAUCCAUUUCUAAGACAAGUAUUUCCGGGCGGAGGGAGUACGAU